Molecule: ribosomal RNA, 294 nt
Filed under: uncultured bacterium
Lineage: Bacteria
Description: partial 16S ribosomal RNA
Rfam family: Bacterial small subunit ribosomal RNA
Source: RNAcentral
GGUGAAUGCUAGCGGUGCGCCUAACACAUGCAAGUCGAGCGUGAAAUUUUUUAGCUUGCUAAAAAAUGGAAAGCGGCGAACGGGUGAGUAAUGAAUUACUAUUUGCCCUCAAGUCAGGAAUACCUUAGAGAAAUCUAAGUUAAUGCCGGAUAGUUCCUACGGGACAAAGAUUUAUCGCUUGAGGAGAAGGUUUUUCUCUAUCAGCUAGUUGGUAAGGUAAAGGCUUACCAAGGCUAUGACGGAUAGUUGGUCUGAGAGGAUGAUCAACCACAAUGGAACUGAGACACGGUCCAU